Molecule: long non-coding RNA, 214 nt
Filed under: Ananas comosus (pineapple)
Lineage: Eukaryota; Viridiplantae; Streptophyta; Magnoliopsida; Poales; Bromeliaceae
Description: long non-coding RNA (ACOM_LNC007224)
Source: RNAcentral
ACACAUGUAUAACCAUAGCAAAUCAAACAAAGAGAUUGCAAUAAUACACGGCUUGCUCGAGGGGAAGCAACAACAAGUAGUGAAAACUCUAAGCUACUACAUACAACCAUACAUCCAUACACAUGAUAUUUGAUUACAUUUUAACCAAAUACAAGUAACCACAUUUACAUCCAUUUAUUUUCUUUUCAUACAUGUACAUCAUUUACAUUCAUCC